Molecule: ribosomal RNA, 254 nt
Filed under: uncultured bacterium
Lineage: Bacteria
Description: partial 16S ribosomal RNA
Rfam family: Bacterial small subunit ribosomal RNA
Source: RNAcentral
UACGAAGGGGGCGAGCGUUGUUCGGAUUCACUGGGCGUAAAGGGUGCGUAGGCGGCCGGGUAAGUCUGAUGUGAAAUCCCGCAGCUCAACUGCGGAACUGCAUCGGAUACUCUCCGGCUAGAGGAAUGGAGGGGAGACUGGAAUUCUCGGUGUAGCAGUGAAAUGCGUAGAUAUCGAGAGGAACACCAGUGGCGAAGGCGACUACCUGGCCUGUUUCUUGACGCUGAGGCGCGAAAGCUAGGGGAGCAAACGGG